This 764-nucleotide ribosomal RNA is filed under the name uncultured bacterium. RNAcentral describes it as "bacterial SSU rRNA". It matches the Rfam family "Bacterial small subunit ribosomal RNA", at positions 93 to 853 of the family's 1533-position model. The record is from RNAcentral.
GACCCGCUCACGGGUGAGUAACACGUAUGCAACCUGCCCGCCACAGGGGGAUAAGCGGAAGAAAUUCCGUCUAAUACCGCGUGACGCGGCGCCGGGGCAUCCCGGUGCCGCCAAAGGGAUUACCGGUGGCGGAUGGGCAUGCGGCGCAUUAGCUAGUCGGCGGGGUAACGGCCCACCGAGGCGACGAUGCGUAGGGGUUCUGAGAGGAAGGUCCCCCACACUGGUACUGAGACACGGACCAGACUCCUACGGGAGGCAGCAGUGAGGAAUAUUGGUCAAUGGGCGCGAGCCUGAACCAGCCAAGUCGCGUGAGGGAUGACGGUCCUACGGAUUGUAAACCUCUUUUGCCGGGGAGCAAGCGUGCGUUCGUGAACGCACGUCGAGAGUACCCGGAGAAAAAGCAUCGGCUAACUCCGUGCCAGCAGCCGCGGUAAUACGGAGGAUGCGAGCGUUAUCCGGAUUUAUUGGGUUUAAAGGGUGCGUAGGCGGGAUGCCAAGUCAGCGGUAAAAAUGCGGUGCUCAACGCCGUCGAGCCGUUGAAACUGGCGUUCUUGAGUGGGCGAGAAGUAUGCGGAAUGCGUGGUGUAGCGGUGAAAUGCAUAGAUAUCACGCAGAACUCCGAUUGCGAAGGCAGCAUACCGGCGCCCUACUGACGCUGAGGCACGAAAGCGUGGGUAUCGAACAGGAUUAGAUACCCUGGUAGUCCACGCAGUAAACGAUGAAUGCUAACUGUCCGGCGCGAAUGAGCGCUGGGCGGUACAGCG